CUCAGAGGGGAGCAGCAGGAAGUUGCAAGGAUGUUUGCUCAACACACCCAUGUACCUCUCAGCAGCUGGGAAGGCCAGGUGUGGGGAUGAGGGGACCCCAGGACCAGCCCAGAGGAGGGGCUUACAGGGAGGUAAGGCUGACCACUGCUCCCAAGACUCCCAGCCUGACUUCUGCAUUAAUGCUGAAGUGGAGAGGCAACAGGCCCCCACCCCCAGCCUUUAGAGGAUUUGGGGAGAUUAGAGAAGUAUGUGUGUUUGAAUGUGCCUGUGUGGGUGGGCUUUUUGCAACCCUUGACUGUGUGUGUGUGUGUGUGUGUGUGUGUGUGUGUGUGUGUGUGUGUGUAUGUGUGUGACCAAAGGAAGGACCAAGGCACUAUAGCCUUAGAAUCACCAGAAAAAAAU
Molecule: long non-coding RNA, 402 nt
Filed under: Rattus norvegicus (Norway rat)
Lineage: Eukaryota; Metazoa; Chordata; Mammalia; Rodentia; Muridae
Description: long non-coding RNA NONRATT019469
Source: RNAcentral